Molecule: long non-coding RNA, 550 nt
Filed under: Ananas comosus (pineapple)
Lineage: Eukaryota; Viridiplantae; Streptophyta; Magnoliopsida; Poales; Bromeliaceae
Description: long non-coding RNA (ACOM_LNC038933)
Source: RNAcentral
UUUUCAUAAAUGCAAUCUAUUUAUUAUUUCUGUCGCUUUUUGGACUUACUCCUUUUCUAUUAGGGCCUAGUAGUGCAUUGAGCUGAGGUCAGUAAUUGCCCACUGGGAACUAUAAAUUAUAGUUCUCACGCCCUCUGUUUCAUAUUUUUAUUCUAGAGCCUUCCACGCCGAGAGAGGCUAGGGAUCGUGGAAAGGGAUUUGCCUCGAGCUAGCUUGCUUUGAGGGACGCGUCGAUAGGUGGUCCACCUCUCUAUUGUAUUUUAUUUUGGAGAGGUUGUGAGAGAUUUGUACCCAUUUUGUAGAGACCCCCCCCUUUAUAUGUAUCUUGAGGCUUUUGUUGUACUUUUUAUGUAAGGUACCGGACUUCUAAAACUAGGAAGUUAUGGUGUACAAUGAUUUGGGGAGCCAUUUGAAUGGUCCCGAUGGAGAAUGUAACAUACCAGAUUUUGGUAUAAAAAUAAUAAAUAAAUAAAAAUAGUGUGGGAUACUAUUUUUAUUGGAUUUAGAGAAAUAAAACAUAAGUCUAGAAUUGACUUGUGCUGAAAUCGGA